UACGGGGGGAGCAAGCGUUGUUCGGAUUUACUGGGCGUAAAGGGCGCGUAGGCGGUAGCACAAGUCAGUUGUGAAAUCUCCGGGCUUAACUCGGAAAGGUCAACUGAUACUGUGCGACUAGAGUGCAGAAGGGGCAACUGGAAUUCUCGGUGUAGCGGUGAAAUGCGCAGAUAUCAGGAAGAACACCUAUGGCGAAGGCAGCUCUCUGGGACGGUACUGACGCUGAGACGCGAAAGCGUGGGGAGCGAACAGG
RNAcentral lists this ribosomal RNA (253 nucleotides) under uncultured bacterium. Its description in RNAcentral is "partial 16S ribosomal RNA". It matches the Rfam family "Bacterial small subunit ribosomal RNA", at positions 524 to 776 of the family's 1533-position model. The record is from RNAcentral.